Molecule: long non-coding RNA, 1046 nt
Filed under: Meriones unguiculatus (Mongolian gerbil)
Lineage: Eukaryota; Metazoa; Chordata; Mammalia; Rodentia; Muridae
Description: lncRNA (ENSMUGG00000012593.1)
Source: RNAcentral
UUCAGUCACAGAUCUGUGUCAGUUACGGAGAACAAGGACAGUCCAAGCUGGGGCCUUUUGUGAUGCUUUUGAAAGGAGGGACUCUAAAAGGCCCAGGCACAUGUUCUCUCCAGCAGUAAAACUCCAUCCUGUGAUUCACGGAGCCUCCCGUCUGCCUCCAGCAUCGCCAAGGCUGCAUAAUAUCACAGUCCUCAGAGCGACUGUGGUCCUUUCUGCUUGUGCCACCGGACAGAUGAUUUCUACCUUUGCGCAGCGGGUGGUGAAUUUUGAACGAAUGAUUUACUGGUUAACUCAGAGGCCUGCGCUUGCUCAGUGCGCAUGUGCGCAGCAUUCGCAAGACGCAAUGAUGUCCCGAGAUAGGAGCUCCAGAAAUGGCUCCAUACACACUCGUGAACAGUGUUCUGCACUGAGGAAGCACUGGGGAUGCUCAGCUCUCUAACUCUCCCGAGUCUGUUCUCAGUGCCCACGUUCACACUGGUGGGUCCCCAUGUUCUACGGUAAAGGGACUCUACAGAAGACACUUUAACCAGUGUUUGCUAAUCUAAUCCAGCCACGAUAGAGGAGCACCACUUUCAGAGCAUUGAAAGAACCUAUGUUAUGGAAGAAACAAAUAGAUUUCUCUUGCUACGUUUAACAUGAGGCAGGAGAGUAGACGAAUGAACCUAGCGAAAGAGUCUUUAAAAAUACGCUUAGGGUUUGUGCUUAAACCACAACGCGCUGCACCAAGCUUUCCAGCUAAUUGGAGGACUCCCGCAGACACCUACUUGGCUGUUGCAACCAUUGACAGAACGCACCUCAGAAAAACUCCGGAAGUCAAGAUUCAGUGUCCAGGUACAGGGCUUUUGGCCUCCUUUCAUAGUCUCAAUUUAUUCCCCGAUUUCAAGAUGGCACCUGUGGCGGCUGCCAGAUGGGGGUCUGGUGUUUGCCUUAGUUCAGCACCACCUCACCUCCUGCUCUAGGAACGCCACCCAUUUCCCCUCCCCACCUUUUCUUCCUUCUUUUGAGUCAGAACCAAAAGCAGCUGUGCGAGUCCUAGAAACUCUCCC